RNAcentral lists this ribosomal RNA (193 nucleotides) under uncultured Lactobacillus sp. Its description in RNAcentral is "partial 16S ribosomal RNA". It matches the Rfam family "Bacterial small subunit ribosomal RNA", at positions 338 to 524 of the family's 1533-position model. The record is from RNAcentral. Lineage: Bacteria; Bacillati; Bacillota; Bacilli; Lactobacillales; Lactobacillaceae.
CCUACGGGAGGCAGCAGUAGGGAACUUCCACAAUGGGCGCAAGCCUGAUGGAGCAACGCCGCGUGAGUGAAGAAGGUUUUCGGAUCGUAAAGCUCUGUUGUUGGUGAAGAAGGAUAGAGGUAGUAACUGGCCUUUAUUUGACGGUAAUCAACCAGAAAGUCACGGCUAACUACGUGCCAGCAGCCGCGGUAAU